Parelaphostrongylus tenuis is the source of this 71-nucleotide non-coding RNA. NCBI's taxonomy places the organism in Eukaryota, Metazoa, Nematoda, Chromadorea, Rhabditida, Metastrongylidae. The record is from the annotation of a GenBank genome assembly.
GCGUCAGUGGUGCAACGGUUAACAUACGCUCCCGCAAAGAGUGAGAUCUGGAUCGAAUCCCGGCUGGCGCA